AGUGAACGCUGGCGGUAGGCCUAACGCAUGCAAGUCGAACGGCAGCACAGUAAGAGCUUGCUCUUACGGGUGGCGAGUGGCGGACGGGUGAGGAAUACAUCGGAAUCUACUUUUUCGUGGGGGAUAACGUAGGGAAACUUACGCUAAUACCGCAUACGACCUACGGGUGAAAGCAUGGGAUCUUCGGACCUUGCGCGAUUGAAUGAGCCGAUGUCGGAUUAGCUAGUUGGCGGGGUAAAGGCCCACCAAGGCGACGAUCCGUAGCUGGUCUGAGAGGAUGAUCAGCCACACUGGAACUGAGACACGGUCCAGACUCCUACGGGAGGCAGCAGUGGGGAAUAUUGGACAAUGGGCGCAAGCCUGAUCCAGCCAUACCGCGUGGGUGAAGAAGGCCUUCGGGUUGUAAAGCCCUUUUGUUGGGAAAGAAAAGCAGCAGGUUAAUACCCCGCUGUUCUGACGGUACCCAAAGAAUAAGCACCGGCUAACUUCGUG
RNAcentral lists this ribosomal RNA (492 nucleotides) under uncultured bacterium. RNAcentral describes it as "partial 16S ribosomal RNA". It matches the Rfam family "Bacterial small subunit ribosomal RNA", at positions 29 to 507 of the family's 1533-position model. The record is from RNAcentral.